This 376-nucleotide ribosomal RNA is filed under the name Staphylococcus aureus. RNAcentral describes it as "partial 23S ribosomal RNA". It matches the Rfam family "Bacterial large subunit ribosomal RNA", at positions 1008 to 1389 of the family's 2925-position model. Lineage: Bacteria; Bacillati; Bacillota; Bacilli; Caryophanales; Staphylococcaceae. The record is from RNAcentral.
UGUUCGAAAGGGAAACAGCCCAGACCACCAGCUAAGGUCCCAAAAUAUAUGUUAAGUGGAAAAGGAUGUGGCGUUGCCCAGACAACUAGGAUGUUGGCUUAGAAGCAGCCAUCAUUUAAAGAGUGCGUAAUAGCUCACUAGUCGAGUGACACUGCGCCGAAAAUGUACCGGGGCUAAACAUAUUACCGAAGCUGUGGAUUGUCCUUUGGACAAUGGUAGGAGAGCGUUCUAAGGGCGUUGAAGCAUGAUCGUAAGGACAUGUGGAGCGCUUAGAAGUGAGAAUGCCGGUGUGAGUAGCGAAAGACGGGUGAGAAUCCCGUCCACCGAUUGACUAAGGUUUCCAGAGGAAGGCUCGUCCGCUCUGGGUUAGUCGGGU